AUUUAAAAUGACUCUCGGCAACGGAUAUCUCGGCUCUUGCAUCGAUGAAGAACGUAGCGAAAUGCGAUACUUGGUGUGAAUUGCAGAAUCCCGUGAACCAUCGAGUCUUUGAACGCAAGUUGCGCCCGAAGCCACUAGGUUGAGGGCACGCCUGCCUGGGUGUCACAC
This 168-nucleotide ribosomal RNA is filed under the name Lablab purpureus (hyacinth bean). RNAcentral's name for it is "5.8S ribosomal RNA". It matches the Rfam family "5.8S ribosomal RNA". From Rfam's summary of the family: 5.8S ribosomal RNA (5.8S rRNA) is a component of the large subunit of the eukaryotic ribosome. It is transcribed by RNA polymerase I as part of the 45S precursor that also contains 18S and 28S rRNA. Functionally, it is thought that 5.8S rRNA may be involved in ribosome translocation. The record is from RNAcentral. Lineage: Eukaryota; Viridiplantae; Streptophyta; Magnoliopsida; Fabales; Fabaceae.